CAGCCGCCACGGUAAUACGAAGGGGGCUAGCGUUGUUCGGAAUUACUGGGCGUAAAGGGCGCGUAGGCGGCCAUUCAAGUUAGAUGUGAAAGCCCUGGGCUCAACCUAGGAAUUGCAUUUGAUACUGUUUGGCUUGAGUUCGGGAGAGGUGAGUGGAAUUCCCAGUGUAGAGGUGAAAUUCGUAGAUAUUGGGAAGAACACCAGUGGCGAAGGCGGCUCACUGGACCGACACUGACGCUGAGGCGCGAAAGCGUGGGGAGCAAACAGGAUUAGAUACCCGCGUAGUCCCUGUCUCUUAUAC
This 301-nucleotide ribosomal RNA is filed under the name uncultured bacterium. RNAcentral describes it as "partial 16S ribosomal RNA". It matches the Rfam family "Bacterial small subunit ribosomal RNA", at positions 509 to 807 of the family's 1533-position model. The record is from RNAcentral.